This 423-nucleotide ribosomal RNA is filed under the name uncultured fungus. RNAcentral's name for it is "partial small subunit ribosomal RNA". It matches the Rfam family "Eukaryotic small subunit ribosomal RNA", at positions 30 to 432 of the family's 1831-position model. The record is from RNAcentral. Lineage: Eukaryota; Fungi.
GCUUGUCUCAAAGAUUAAGCCAUGCAUGUCUAAGUAUAAACAACUUUAUACAGUGAAACUGCAGAUGGCUCAUUAAAUCAGUUAUAAUUUAUUUGAUGAUUAACUUUACUACAUGGAUAACCGUAGUAAUUCUAGAGCUAAUACAUGCGAAAAGACCCGACUUUUGGGAAGGGUUGUAUUUAUUAGAUUCAAAACCAAUGAGCCGCAAGGCUGUUUCCGCAAGGAAAGGGUGGUGAUUCAUAAUAACUGUGCGAAUCGUAUUGGGCACUUGCUGCCGACGAUGGAUCAUUCAAAUUUCUGACUUAUUAACUUUCGAUGGUAAGGUAGUGGCUUACCAUGGUCGCCAUGAGUAACGGAGGAUCAGGGUUCGAUUCCGGAGAGGGGGCCUGAGAAAUGGCCACCACAUCCAAGGAAGGCAGCAGG